Molecule: ribosomal RNA, 485 nt
Filed under: uncultured bacterium
Lineage: Bacteria
Description: bacterial SSU rRNA
Rfam family: Bacterial small subunit ribosomal RNA
Source: RNAcentral
GACGAACGCUGGCGGCGUGCUUAACACAUGCAAGUGGAGCGACGAACCAGGGCUUGCCCUGGGGCAGAGCCGCGAACGGGUGAGUAACACGUGGGUAACCUACCCCGAUGACCGGGACAACCCGAGGAAACUCGGGCUAAUACCGGAUGUUCUCGUUUCUCGUAAGGGAAAUGAGUAAAGAUAGCUUCGGCCUUCGCAUCGGGACGGGCCCGCGGCCCAUUAGCUUGUUGGUGGGGUAACGGCCUACCAAGGCGACGAUGGGUAGCUGGUCUGAGAGGAUGAUCAGCCACACUGGGACUGAGACACGGCCCAGACUCCUACGGGAGGCAGCAGUGGGGAAUAUUGGACAAUGGGCGCAAGCCUGAUCCAGCCAUGCCGCGUGGAUGAUGAAGGCCCUAGGGUUGUAAAGUCCUUUCGACGGGGAAGAUAAUGACGGUACCAGCAGAAGAAGCCCCGGCUAACUCCGUGCCAGCAGCCGCGGUAAC